RNAcentral lists this ribosomal RNA (492 nucleotides) under uncultured bacterium. Its description in RNAcentral is "partial 16S ribosomal RNA". It matches the Rfam family "Bacterial small subunit ribosomal RNA", at positions 29 to 507 of the family's 1533-position model. The record is from RNAcentral.
AUUGAACGCUGGCGGCAUGCUUUACACAUGCAAGUCGAACGGUAACAGGCCUUCGGGUGCUGGCGAGUGGCGAACGGGUGAGUAAUGCAUCGGAACGUACCCAGAGGUGGGGGAUAACGCAGCGAAAGCUGUGCUAAUACCGCAUGUGAUCUGAGGAUGAAAGCGGGGGACCGAGCAGCAAUGUUUGGCCUCGCGCCUUUGGAGCGGCCGAUGUCGGAUUAGCUAGUUGGUGGGGUAAAGGCCUACCAAGGCGACGAUCCCUAGCUGGUCUGAGAGGACGACCAGCCACACUGGGACUGAGACACGGCCCAGACUCCUACGGGAGGCAGCAGUGGGGAAUUUUGGACAAUGGGCGCAAGCCUGAUCCAGCAAUGCCGCGUGCGGGAAGAAGGCCUUCGGGUUGUAAACCGCUUUUGGCAGGAACGAAACGGUGUCCGCUAAUACCGGGCGCUAAUGACGGUACCUGCAGAAUAAGCACCGGCUAACUACGUG